AGUGAACGCUGGCGGUAGGCCUAACACAUGCAAGUCGAACGGCAGCACAGUAAGAGCUUGCUCUUACGGGUGGCGAGUGGCGGACGGGUGAGGAAUACAUCGGAAUCUACUUUUUCGUGGGGGAUAACGUAGGGAAACUUACGCUAAUACCGCAUACGACCUACGGGUGAAAGCAGGGGAUCUUCGGACCUUGCGCGAUUGACUGAGCCGAUGUCGGAUUAGCUAGUUGGCGGGGUAAAGGCCCACCAAGGCGACGAUCCGUAGCUGGUCUGAGAGGAUGAUCAGCCACACUGGAACUGAGACACGGUCCAGACGCCUACGGGAGGCAGCAGUGGGGAAUAUUGGACAAUGGGCGCAAGCCUGAUCCAGCCAUACCGCGUGGGUGAAGAAGGCCUUCGGGUUGUAAAGCCCUUUUGUUGGGAAAGAAAAGCAGCAGGUUAAUACCCCGCUGUUCUGACGGUACCCAAAGAAUAAGCACCGGCUAACUUCGUG
RNAcentral lists this ribosomal RNA (492 nucleotides) under uncultured bacterium. Its description in RNAcentral is "partial 16S ribosomal RNA". It matches the Rfam family "Bacterial small subunit ribosomal RNA", at positions 29 to 507 of the family's 1533-position model. The record is from RNAcentral.